RNAcentral lists this long non-coding RNA (3159 nucleotides) under Daucus carota (carrot). RNAcentral's name for it is "long non-coding RNA (DCAR_LNC000474)". Lineage: Eukaryota; Viridiplantae; Streptophyta; Magnoliopsida; Apiales; Apiaceae. The record is from RNAcentral.
UUCAAUCUUAUUAUUUCAUCCAGGUCCAUGUGAUAAUCUUACAAUAUAUAUGCAACACAGAGCUUUUACAACUUAAAGCAAAUAACUCUUUAUGAACGGAUGAUUUGUAAGUAUAACAAACAAACACCUUUCAAUCUUAUUAUUUCAUCCAGGUUCAUAUAAUCUCACAAUAUAUAUGGAACUAAAAGCCUAAAUAAAUGGCACAUAUAUUCAGAAGCAACCAAUCCAUUGGCAAAAUGCUAGUAAUUCAUAAAGACGCGGCCAUCUCACUCCCCUUCGCUCAGGAUUGGAACAAUUAGUGGAUUCAUCUGUGCAAGGUAGACAAUCGCCCACCUAGAAGACCAAAUAGGUGAUCAGACUUGCUCUAUUAAUAUUAUAUAUAACAGGAUUACAUAAAAUUGACAAAACUGAUUUUCCUAACUUCACAUACAAGUAAAUGUGGCAAUAACAAGCUAAACCAAUGACUGGUGGUACGGAGCUGUAAUAUAAGUUACUUACGUAUGCAUGUAUCCUGUGAAAACAUACUACCUUCAAUUUAACAAUAUCAAAACUAAUGUCAAGAGAAUUAUAUAGUUCAGCCUAGUAACAACAUCGGUUCGACAAGAAAUUUACUUUUUGAUGAUGGAGAACUUCAUUAUCAGCUCACCUCGGUGCAAACUACAGUGUAUACAGUAAUGCAAUGGGGAAGACAAAAACUACCUCCCGCGUAGGAAGGAAUAGGAUAAUUUGUCCCAAGUCAAAAUGAUGCAGCACAAAAACAAAAAAUUGGAUGAGUACACUGACUUUGUGAGGUUUGGAUGAGUAUAUGUAGAGAAUGGAGCUCCCAUUAUAAUUGGAGAAGAUAAUAUACUUAGUUAUAACAUGCAUAAACCAUAUGAGAUAUCGAGCUUCAAGAUAGGUUAAAGUGCUGGACUGUGCAUGAGCUUAACUGGUUUUAGACAUAUUAAAGAAGAUAAAAAGACAGAUCAACAAUUAACUUAUAAUAUCUAAAGUUGCUUGGCUGGUCACUGCAGACCGGCUAUUUUGUAGAACUGCUAAACCCAUUAUUCCUGGACAUAUAUAUAUAUAUAUAUAUCCACAGUCCACGCCCAUAAACUGUAUAGUUUUUUCUUCAUUAAUUUUAAAAUUUCACAGCGACUAAAAUAUAUACCUAUGGAGAACUAAUAAUUACCAAACUUCAUAAUUCUCUUCCGUGAUGACUGUCUAACAUAUAAAGCAUGUGUGUCCAACAGAACUAAUGUGAUAAAGCUUGUAGCGGUAUUAAACAGCACAAACUUGUAGACAGAACAAUAACACGCCUCUUUGUUAUAUAGUUUUAAUCACUAGUACAUUCUUUUUUAGUUGAGAAUGAAAGGAACAAAGAUAAAAAAGCAUCCAGCUGAGCCCGUCAUAAUUUGAGAAAACUACAUCAAACCAAGCAUACCAGAACUGCGGAGCAGGGGGGGUCUAGCUGGGACAGUGUAAUAAGAAAACUAAUAUGUGUGCAGACCUUAGUCACCUUACCUCUAGAGAAAAAGUAGAGAGGUGUUUCUGCAACACAGCUCAGAAAUAACAAAAGCAGUGCCAGAAUUCGCAGUGAAACACAUUUUCAUAGAAAAAGAUGUUAUUCGCCCGAGGCAGGAUUUAAUCAUGUAAGAGAUGUUGUGUAUAUCCAACUUCCUAGCCAUAGUAAAUAAGUACUUAAAAAUACUUACAUCAUCCAGCAGCAAACUGUUGCAGUCAUUACCAAUGUCAAGUGGAGCCUGCAAAUGCUCUAACGGUUAGCAGAGUGGGUAUAAGCGGAAAUUAGAGAAAGGUAACACAUCAGCUUACAGUCAAAAAGGAUAGAAAAAAAAUCUAUCAAGAUAGGGUUUCGUAAUACAUCAAAACAUUUGUUUAAUGUCAUGUUUCUUUAGAGCAUUUCAUAAUUUAUGCAUGCAUGAUGCUUAUACCUUUACGAUAAGAUUGCCACUCGGCUUUGUGAAGAUCACACAUUAGUUAGAGGCUCAAUCAUUUUCUUUAUUAGUUUGUAAAUUCGUACAUGUCAUAUCCACUUCUGGUACUACAUAAACAAUAAUGUAUCCCGCAAUGUUGGCUUAGGUAUACUUGAAAACAGAAGGCCGCGUCCUCAAUUCAGAUGUGUUCAAAAAAGGAAUUUUUGUAACUUAAUAUCGACACAAAGACUAUUCCUGAAUUCUGAAGAACUAUAAUAAGGUUCAGGUAUAACUAAGGGAGCGUUUGGUUCAUAGUUAAUGAGACCUUAAACCCAUGUGUUGGUGUUUGCCUGUUUGGAUUAGCAAUAUUGUUGCAUGGAAUGGGAAACUCAAUCCCACUUGGAGGGUAAUCAUUCCUUACACACCCCUUGGGAUAUCCAUUCCCAUUCCCAAUUCCCCCACACACAAUCCAAACGCCCCCUAAUUGAUAUUUAAAAGCUACUAAAACCAGAAUGUCCAAGUAAGUUUUCAGCUAUAUUAGCAUCCAAAUUUUAAGAAACUUAUCUACUUCAAAGUCAAUUGACGGCAUAUUCACCUUUAAAAUUUUAGCCUAUCAGUAGGCUAGCUGUUUUUUCUUAGCAUCUGCAGUUGUAUGCCGUGUUUCCAACUAAACAACUACAAGAUGCUCUUAAGCAAAAUAACAUUCUUGUUCUAAAAUUGCGAUGCCAAAGGUAUCAACAUUCCAACUGCUCAAAUCAAGUAUACUUGUAUUGUUUCUAUCCAAUACUCAAAAUCCCAAAAGCUAAAAUCUUCACCUAUCCAUCAAUUUAUAAUUACAGAUUCACUAAAUGCAAUAUCAUCUCCCCCAAUCAUCCAAACCAAAGCUUUCUUGAAAUUUUAAAUAGAUGACUGCAAUACAUAUACUAAUACAUAUAACCACAAACAGAAAUGCAUGGUAUUGCUAAACAAGAUCAUAACUUUAUCCAAUAUAAUGAUACCCAAUUCAAAGAAAACACAACCAAACAAUCAAAUUCCAACAAUUGUGUGAAAAAAUCUGAUAAUGAUUUUUGAUCAAAUCAAGAAUAUAUGAAGUUUAUUUAGGGAAAAGAGUGCAUACAGAUUAGCAGAAGGGCCUUUGUUAUAGCAGAUUCUGGUAGAAAGACUAGCAACUAGGCCCACCAAAGCAAAGAUGAGGGUCGUGACAGAGAAACCCAUCUUCCAAUUCAAUCAAUCAAGUCUGAUCCAA